GAUGAACGCUGGCGGCGUGCCUAAUACAUGCAAGUCGAGCGAACAGACGAGGAGCUUGCUCCUCUGACGUUAGCGGCGGACGGGUGAGUAACACGUGGAUAACCUACCUAUAAGACUGGGAUAACUUCGGGAAACCGGAGCUAAUACCGGAUAAUAUAUUGAACCGCAUGGUUCAAUAGUGAAAGACGGUUUUGCUGUCACUUAUAGAUGGAUCCGCGCCGCAUUAGCUAGUUGGUAAGGUAACGGCUUACCAAGGCGACGAUGCGUAGCCGACCUGAGAGGGGGAGGGGCGGCGCUGGAACGGAGCCACGGCACAGAGCGCUACGGGGGGGAGCAAAAGGGGAGCUGCCGCAAAGGGCGAAAGCCUGAAGAAGCAACGCUGCGGGAGAAAUAAAAGUGUUCGAAUCGUAAAACUCGGUUAUUAGGGAAGAACAAAAAAGGAAGAAACUAUGCACGUCCUGACAGUAGCUAAACAGAAAGCCACGGCUAACUACGAG
Molecule: ribosomal RNA, 497 nt
Filed under: uncultured bacterium
Lineage: Bacteria
Description: partial 16S ribosomal RNA
Rfam family: Bacterial small subunit ribosomal RNA
Source: RNAcentral